UCAGCUUGAGUCACUCUUACCAGGCUUUAUCUAGGUAGGUGGCUUAGGUUAGCUAGGGCUAUGUCCCAUGAUGUACAGUCCCUUUACACAAUGUUGGAGAUCAAACUUGGCUUCAUGUCUUGCUUCAUAUUCCCACAGCCUCUCAGAGUCCUGUGGACGAUGACUGAGGAGACAAACCAUGCAAGCAACAUAC
Cercocebus atys (sooty mangabey) is the source of this 193-nucleotide small nucleolar RNA. Its record names the gene SNORA73. It matches the Rfam family "Small nucleolar RNA SNORA73 family". From Rfam's summary of the family: U17 (SNORA73A and SNORA73B) also known as E1 belongs to the H/ACA class of small nucleolar RNAs (snoRNAs). Vertebrate U17 is intron-encoded and ranges in length from 200-230 nucleotides, longer than most snoRNAs. The record is from Ensembl. NCBI's taxonomy places the organism in Eukaryota, Metazoa, Chordata, Mammalia, Primates, Cercopithecidae.